UUGUGGUGGCGGCUGAAGCAACAGCUGUCUUGUUUCUUUGGCUGCAGUCCACUCUCCUGGAAUAACAUGCUGACUGUCCUGUUUUCUCAGGAGCUGUUUGAACAUCACUAUCCAGAAAUCUCAUGUGUAGGGAGAUAUGAUCAACAAGACUACACAAUAUUUGCAUUUUGUGUGACAGACUCCCCAGAAACCCCUCAGCCAACAGGAUUCUGCUGUGUGGUACUUAGAGCCAGCACAAUCAAGGAGUGCGAGGACAAUCAGCCGCAUCGCUACUGGCUUCAAGCAUACAGAGUGGUUUGUAUGACCUGGCAACUGUUGUGUUGUAAAUGUCUAUCAAGCUCAUGUCUACCCAACUAAACUACAACACAAGGCUUUCCAUUCGUAGAGCUUUAAUAGAAAGACAGGACAGUUUCAUAAAUAGCAUUAAAUGUAGCUGCCAAGAUUUUGUUGAAAAAACAUGUAAAAAGCAGUCCAGAAAAAUAUAGCAGGGCUGGAAAGCUCCUUGUCACUUUGUGCAGAGUAUCAACUCUGGUAGCCAACACCCUGUCACUGCAGUGAAACCUGUUGAGCAAGACAUGCUGGUAUUUUGUAAAUAAAUGGAUGAAGGAACCCUGGAGCCUAUGGAAGAUGUAUUCAUUCAUCCUCAGUUCAAAGACAGCUUCAGAGGGAGCCUUACACCCACACACCUUGAGGGUUGGUAUAAUAGAGGCAACAUGUAGUAAUGACCCAUGAUGUAGUAGGUAGAUAUCCCCACUGCACUACAUUUCCAACUACCUAGAGUGACUGCAGGCAUGCGGAAUGGUUGAUUCAUAAUCUCAAUCUAAAAUACAAUACAAAGUUAAAAAAAACUUGUAAAAA
This is a long non-coding RNA of Monopterus albus (swamp eel), 858 nucleotides long. RefSeq lists it as uncharacterized. NCBI's taxonomy places the organism in Eukaryota, Metazoa, Chordata, Actinopteri, Synbranchiformes, Synbranchidae. The record is from RefSeq and is a predicted model, not a curated record. The transcript has 3 exons.